Molecule: ribosomal RNA, 198 nt
Filed under: uncultured bacterium
Lineage: Bacteria
Description: partial 16S ribosomal RNA
Rfam family: Bacterial small subunit ribosomal RNA
Source: RNAcentral
CUCCUACGGAGGCAGCAGUGGGGAAUUUUGGACAAUGGGCGCAAGCCUGAUCCAACCAUGCCGCGUGUGGGAAGAAGGCCUUCGGGUUGUAAACCACUUUUGUCAGGGAAGAAACGGCUCUUAUUAAUAUUGGGAGCUAAUGAACGGUACCUGAAGAAUAAGCACCGGCUAACUACGUGCCAGCAGCCGCGGUAAUAC